RNA transcript from Maylandia zebra (zebra mbuna), 1370 nucleotides. It is a transcript of the gene named phospholipase D1, with no coding region annotated. NCBI's taxonomy places the organism in Eukaryota, Metazoa, Chordata, Actinopteri, Cichliformes, Cichlidae. The record is from RefSeq and is a predicted model, not a curated record.
UCUGGCUACAAAGACGGCGUCAAACCAGAAAAGAUUGCUCGUGGUCAAAUAAUGUGUCAAUCACCUGUGAAUCAAACUGUGUGUGGCUCAGUUCAUGUCACAGUGUUGUUUAGUAUAUCUUCACUUGUCUCACUCUCCUUCUGUUCUGUCCAUCAGGACGAUCCUCAGCGCUUACACAGAUCCUCCAUCGAUGUUUUGGAUCCAAUCAGUGAUCAGUUCUACGAGGAGGCCUGGAUGUUCACCAGCGCUCGCUACACCUCCAUCUACCAGAAGGUUUUCCACUGUCGGCCAUCCAGCGAUGCUGGAGGGCUACCUGGCCAAUGCUGGCCUACACAAAGAGGUCCCAGCUCGGAGGAGCUGAAGAAGAUCCUUGCCUUCCUCGUCAGUUUCCUCUUCAGUUCCUAUCCCAACAAAACCUUCUUGCACCUAUUAGCUCCAAAGAGGCUAUGGUGCCCGUGGAGGUCUGGACCUGAGGCCUGUGCUCAUCACGUGGAUAGAAAACACUCUGACACCAUUCUGGAGGUCUGAUGGGACUCUGACCAAAACACAGAUGAAAUAAAACUUGUGGCUGGAGCUUUUAAAAUGACUUUUUCACCUCAUAGAUUAAUGCUCAUGAUUGCAUGUUAGCAAGACAGCAUCUCCCCAAGGUGAAACUCUCAGGAGACAUUUACUCUUAAACUGUAAUCUGGUUGAGACUACUUGAGGAGAUCUUAGUAGCGAGUAUGUGGAUUUAGUCUCUUCACCAACAGCAGACAGACCCAUGCCAAGAAAGCAGACAUGUUCUCAAAGAAAGCCGAGAGCAGAGAUUGGAAAAAGCUAAAAAGAAAAAGCUGCAGCUUCAGACGACUAUCUGCCUAUGUUGACUGUGACCUCAGAGGCCAACUGGACCACACAGCUGCAGCAGGAGUGAGGGAGAGGAGUCUUCAUCCAGCUUCAAAGAAAACAUCCAGUUAGAAACCCUGCAGCAACCCGACCCAAAACUGUGUCUUCUUGUUGGCCUCAACGUUGAAGUGUCAAACGUCCAACAUCUGGAAAGGAAACCACGCCAGUGUACUGUGAUGUUUCACCAACAUGUGGCAGACGCUGGUCCUGCCUUUCAUGCUGACAUCAGCAGAGAGCCCCGCCUACCUCAAAGCCUCCCCUGUCAUGUAUUGAUCAGGAUGAUUAUGAAGAUGAGCGAGUGCAAAUAAGACUGUAAAAGUCCACGAGCAGAAUGUUUGGAUGCUUUCUAAUGAUUCAUGAAUAUCAUGAGAGUGUUUGUGUGUUUUGUCUUUUCUUUGCUGACGUUUGUUACUAACAAAGACAAUUUACGCUCUGUGUGUGUUUUCAUCCUUACCAGCCGCACUCUAACUGCAAUGAAGGAAACAAAC